This 497-nucleotide ribosomal RNA is filed under the name uncultured bacterium. RNAcentral describes it as "partial 16S ribosomal RNA". It matches the Rfam family "Bacterial small subunit ribosomal RNA", at positions 28 to 507 of the family's 1533-position model. The record is from RNAcentral.
GAUGAACGCUGGCGGCGUGCCUAAUACAUGCAAGUCGAGCGAACGGACGAGAAGCUUGCUUCUCUGAUGUUAGCGGCGGACGGGUGAGUAACACGUGGAUAACCUACCUAUAAGACUGGGAUAACUUCGGGAAACCGGAGCUAAUACCGGAUAAUAUUUUGAACCGCAUGGUUCAAAAGUGAAAGACGGUCUUGCUGCCACUUAUAGAUGGAUCCGCGCUGCAUUAGCUAGUUGGUAAGGUAACGGCUUACCAAGGCAACGAUGCAUAGCCGACCUGAGAGGGUGAUCGGCCACACUGGAACUGAGACACGGUCCAGACUCCUACGGGAGGCAGCAGUAGGGAAUCUUCCGCAAUGGGCGAAAGCCUGACGGAGCAACGCCGCGUGAGUGAUGAAGGUCUUCGGAUCGUAAAACUCUGUUAUUAGGGAAGAACAUAUGUGUAAGUAACUGUGCAUAUCUUGACGGUACCUAAUCAGAAAGCCACGGCUAACUACGUG